This 253-nucleotide ribosomal RNA is filed under the name uncultured bacterium. RNAcentral's name for it is "partial 16S ribosomal RNA". It matches the Rfam family "Bacterial small subunit ribosomal RNA", at positions 524 to 776 of the family's 1533-position model. The record is from RNAcentral.
UACGUAGGGUGCAAGCGUUAAUCGGAAUUACUGGGCGUAAAGCGUGCGCAGGCGGCUUUGCAAGACAGAUGUGAAAUCCCCGGGCUCAACCUGGGAACUGCAUUUGUGACUGCAUGGCUGGAGUGCGGCAGAGGGGGAUGGAAUUCCGCGUGUAGCAGUGAAAUGCGUAGAUAUGCGGAGGAACACCGAUGGCGAAGGCAAUCCCCUGGGCCUGCACUGACGCUCAUGCACGAAAGCGUGGGGAGCGAUCCGG